Molecule: non-coding RNA, 100 nt
Filed under: Heterosigma akashiwo
Lineage: Eukaryota; Raphidophyceae; Chattonellales; Chattonellaceae
Source: RNAcentral
AUGAACCGCGAAAAAAAUGCAGCAGUGUUUUGUUUUUUGUUUGUUUUUUUUUUUCUUAAAAAAAAAAAAGAAGAAGGCGAUCAAUGAUGCGCAUACCAUU